Molecule: unclassified non-coding RNA, 430 nt
Filed under: soil metagenome
Description: partial contains 5.8S ribosomal RNA, internal transcribed spacer 2, and large subunit ribosomal RNA
Rfam family: 5.8S ribosomal RNA (bases 1-120)
Source: RNAcentral
GAUGAAGAACGUAGCGAAAUGCGAUACGUAAUGUGAAUUGCAGAAUUCAGUGAAUCAUCGAAUCUUUGAACGCAUAUUGCGCUCUUUGGUAUUCCGAAGAGCAUGCUUGUUUGAGUAUCAGUAAACACCUCAAAAGAUUUUCAUUUUUGAAAUGAUUUUGGACUUGAGCAAUCCCAACACCAGUCUUCACGGAUCGGCGGAGGGUUGCUUGAAAUGCAGGUGCAGCUGGACAUUCUCCUGAGCUAAAAGCAUAUCUAUUUAGUCCCGUCAAACGGAUUAUUACUUUUGCUGCAGCUAACAUAAAGGGAGUUUGACCAUUUUGGCUGACUGAUGCAGGAUUUCACAAGGGUCGGUAAAACGAUUUUUGUAAAACUCGAUCUCAAAUCAAGUAAGACUACCCGCUGAACUUAAGCAUAUCAUAAGCGGAGGA